UAUCAGCUGCUGAUUAUUACGUUAUUGAUAAGCGUGUUUAUUGUAUGUUUAUAGGAUUUAAUGUGUCCCAGUGCCGCAAACGGAUCAUACCGACUGGUUUCUUGAACCGAUUCAAAAAGGGAUUCGUUUGCUAAUCGUGUAGCAGAUACAGUCUCUCUAGACUGUCGUGUUUGGUAUCUGGUGCUGGAUGAAGGCUGCUGUCCCGACGAGGAUGACGAGACCUGC
Molecule: long non-coding RNA, 225 nt
Organism: Sinocyclocheilus anshuiensis
Lineage: Eukaryota; Metazoa; Chordata; Actinopteri; Cypriniformes; Cyprinidae
Exons: 3
Source: RefSeq, a predicted model, not a curated record